Molecule: ribosomal RNA, 1242 nt
Filed under: metagenome
Description: bacterial LSU rRNA
Rfam family: Bacterial large subunit ribosomal RNA
Source: RNAcentral
UACCCUCGUUAAGGAAUUAGGCAAAUUAGCCCCGUAACUUCGGGAGAAGGGGCGCCCGUGGGGGUGAACUAUAAGCAUAGGGAGCCUCUGGGGGUCGCAGAGGAAUGGCUCUAGUGACUGGUUACCAAAACCACAGGUCUCUGCUAACGCGGAAGCGGCAGUAUAGGGGCUGACACCUGCCCAGUGCCGCAAGGUUAAAGGGAGGGGUAAGCGGAAGCGAAGCUCUGAACUGAAGCCCCGGUGAACGGCGGCCGUAACAAUAACGGUCCUAAGGUAGCGAAAUUCCUUGUCGGGUAAGUUCCGACCCGCACGAAAGGUGUAACAACUAGAGCACUGUCUCAACGAGGGGCCCGGCGAAAUUGAACACGCGGUAAAGAUGCCGUGUACCCGCAGCAGGACAAAAAGACCCCGUGGAGCUUUACUGUAGUUUGGCACUGGAUGAGGGUUGCGUUUGUGUAGGAUAGGUGGGAGGCGGAGAAGCUGGGACGCGAGUUUCGGUGGAGCCGGCGGUGAAAUACCACCCUGACGCAAUCUUGAUUCUAACUCUGGCCCGUGAACCGGGCAGGGGACCGUGCCAGGCGGGCAGUUUGACUGGGGUGGUCGCCUCCCAAAGGGUAACGGAGGCGCUCAAAGGUUCCCUCAGGUGGCAUGGAAACCCACCGGAGAGUGCAAAGGCAAAAGGGAGCUUGACUGUGAGGCCGACUGGCCGAGCAGGGACGCAAGUCGGACUUAGUGAUCCCACGGUACCGAGUGGAAGGGCCGUGGCUUACCGGAUAAAAGCUACCCCGGGGAUAACAGGGUGGUGAGGCCCAAGAGUUCACAUCGACGGCCUCGCUCGCCACCUCGAUGUCGGCUCGUCACAUCCUGGGGCUGGACAAGGUCCCAAGGGUUGGACUGUUCGUCCAUUAAAGUGGCACGCGAGCUGGGUUCAGACCGUCGUGAGACAGGUCGGUCUCUAUCCGCUGUGGGCGGAGGGGAUUUGAGGGGAGCUGCCUUCAGUACGAGAGGACCAGGGUAGACGGACCGCUGGUGUGUCAGUUGUGGCGCCAGCUGCAGGGCUGAGUAGCCAGGUCCGGCAGGGAUAACCGCUGAAAGCAUCUAAGUGGGAAGCCCGCCCCAAGAUGAGAUCCCCCACACCGAGAAGGUGGUAAGACCGCGGGAAGACGACCCGUUAGAUAGGCAGGGAGUGGAAGCGUUGUAAGGCGUGGAGCUAACCUGUACUAAAGGUCGAGGACUUCUUCC